GAUGAACGCUGGCGGCGUGCCUAAUACAUGCAAGUCGAGCGAACAGACGAGGAGCUUGCUCCUCUGACGUUAGCGGCGGACGGGUGAGUAACACGUGGAUAACCUACCUAUAAUACUGGGAUAACUUCGGGAAACCGGAGCUAAUACCGGAUAAUAUAUUGAACCGCAUGGUUCAAUAGUGAAAGACGGUUUUGCUGUCACUUAUAGAUGGAUCCGCGCCGCAUUAGAUAGUUGGUAAGGUAACGGCUUACUAAGGCAACGAUGCGUAGCCGACCUGAGAGGCGGAUAGGCCACAUGGGAACUGAGACACGGUCAAGACGACUAAGGGAGGGAGCAGUAGGGAAUCGGAGGCAAUGGGCGAAAGCCUGACGGAGCAACGGCGCGCGAGUGAUGAAGGCCUUCGGAGCGGAAAACUCGGUUAUGAGGGAAGAACAGAUGUGGAAGGAAAUGUGCACGUCUUGACGGUACCUAAUAAGAAAGCCACGGCUAACUACGUG
Molecule: ribosomal RNA, 497 nt
Filed under: uncultured bacterium
Lineage: Bacteria
Description: partial 16S ribosomal RNA
Rfam family: Bacterial small subunit ribosomal RNA
Source: RNAcentral